GAUCAGUGGCUCGAGGACGAACGCUGGCGGCGUGCCUAACACAUGCAAGUCGAACGGAAGUUAGAGCUUCGGUUUUAACUUUAGUGGCGGACGGGUGAGUAACGCGUGGGUAACCUGCCUUAUACAGGGGGAUAACAGUUAGAAAUGACUGCUAAUACCGCAUAAGCGCACAGUAUCGCAUGAUACAGUGUGAAAAAGCCGAGACGGUAUAAGAUGGACCCGCGUCUGAUUAGCUAGUUGGUGAGGUAACGGCCCACCAAGGCGACGAUCAGUAGCCGGACUGAGAGGUUGACCGGCCACAUUGGGACUGAGAUACGGCCCAGACUCCUACGGGAGGCAGCAGUGGGGAAUAUUGGGCAAUGGACGCAAGUUUGACCCAGCAACGCCGCGUGAAGGAAGAAGGCUUUCGGGUUGUAAACUUCUUUUAAGAGGGAAGAGUAGAAGACGGUACCUCUUGAAUAAGCCACGGCUAACUACGUG
This 480-nucleotide ribosomal RNA is filed under the name uncultured bacterium. RNAcentral describes it as "bacterial SSU rRNA". It matches the Rfam family "Bacterial small subunit ribosomal RNA", at positions 26 to 507 of the family's 1533-position model. The record is from RNAcentral.